GAGAUCACUGCGAGGCGUCGCUCCAAAUGGAGGCAGCGUGUACCUGUAAAAACAUUCCCCUGUGAUUUAUUGCUGAGAGAAAAAAAUUGCCCCACUUUCCGCUUACUUAAUUAACACAUGACAUUAUCUGAGGUGGCAAGCUAAUAGUGUUGCCGAGAAAGAAGGACCAACCCCUAUAAAGGUGGUAAAUGUGUUACGUGUGUUAGAGAGAGGCUAAUAGGGCAAAAUGCCUGGCCGACUAAACUUCUAGCAUAUCCCAUUGUCAAGAAAGCAAACAUUUCUCCACGCGGGUUAGUUAUUGCACUGUCAGAGAGUUGUCAAAAUGAGAAUUCCCCUCUGUGCGUCCUCGAUGGGUUUGGACAGUUUGGCGUAGUGUGCGUUACCGAGGCUUGAAAACACGACGCCAUCACUAAAGAAGGUGUGUACUGGGACUGCUGUAUUCCACUCUUCGUGCUGUUCAGAGAAAUCACCGCUUACGUUCUCCUGAAUCCAGCAAUAUUUCAAACAACUUUUGGGAAGUCACCUUUUUACAACCCUAGUCAGAAUGUAAAAUGUACCCCAAAGUCCAUAUAAAUACCCAACAAAUCCAGAGACACAUUUUCCAAAGCUAUUUAGAUGUACAUAUCUUAUAUCAAACAUAAGUAAAUAAAUGAAUAAGACCCAUC
Molecule: long non-coding RNA, 665 nt
Organism: Esox lucius (northern pike)
Lineage: Eukaryota; Metazoa; Chordata; Actinopteri; Esociformes; Esocidae
Exons: 2
Source: RefSeq, a predicted model, not a curated record